Lupinus albus (white lupine) is the source of this 117-nucleotide non-coding RNA. The record is from the annotation of a GenBank genome assembly. Lineage: Eukaryota; Viridiplantae; Streptophyta; Magnoliopsida; Fabales; Fabaceae.
AGCCAUCUGAUAAGCACAUAGCGAACUAUUCUUUCGCCUUUUACUAAAGAAUACCGUGUGCUUCUCACAUAAAGUGGCAUAAACUUAUUUUUUGAGGGAUUCCUUUUAUUGAGGGCU